Long non-coding RNA from Oncorhynchus keta (chum salmon), 1406 nucleotides. RefSeq lists it as uncharacterized. Lineage: Eukaryota; Metazoa; Chordata; Actinopteri; Salmoniformes; Salmonidae. The record is from RefSeq and is a predicted model, not a curated record. The transcript has 4 exons.
UUUCAUCAACACACACAGACUUGAGGUUUCUUGUACAGAGACAGAGUUGUGUUGAGGUUUCCUGUACAGAGACAGAGUUGUGUUGAGGUUUCCUGUACAGAGACAGAGUUGUGUUGAGGUUUCCUGUACAGAGACAGAGUUGUGUUGAGGUUACCUGUACAGAGACAGAGUUGUGUUGAGGUUACCUGUACAGAGACAGAGUUGUGUUGAGGUUACCUGUACAGAGACAGAGUUGUGUUGAGGUUUCCUGUACAGAGACAGAGUUGUGUUGAGGUUACCUGUACAGAGACAGAGUUGUGUUGAGGUUACCUGUACAGAGACAGAGUUGUGUUGAGGUUACCUGUACAGAGAAAGAGUUGUGUUGAGGUUACCUGUACAGAGACAGACUUGUGUUGAGGUUACCUGUACAGAGACAGAGUUGUGUUGAGGUUACCUGUACAGAGACAGAGUUGUGUUGAGGUUACCUGUACAGAGAAAGAGUUGUGUUGAGGUUACCUGUACAGAGACAGACUUGUGUUGAGGUUACCUGUACAGAGACAGAGUUGUGUUGAGGUUACCUGUACAGAGACAGAGUUGUGUUGUGUUGAGGUUACCUGUACAGAGACAGAGUUGUGUUGUGUUGAGGUUACCUGUACAGAGAAAGAGUUGUGUUGAGGUUACCUGUACAGAGACAGAGUUGUGUUGUGUUGAGGUUACCUGUACAGAGACAGAGUUGUGUUGUGUUGAGGUUACCUGUACAGAGAAAGAGUUGUGUUGAGGUUACCUGUACAGAGACAGAGUUGUGUUGAGGUUACCUGUACAGAGACAGAGUUGUGUUGAGGUUUCCUGUACAGAGACAGAGUUGUGUUAAGGUUACCUGUACAGAGACAGAGUUGUGUUGAGGUUACCUGUACAGAGACAGAGUUGUGUUGAGGUUACCUGUACAGAGACAGAGUUGUGUUGAGGUUACCUGUACAGAGACAGAGUUGUGUUGAGGUUUCCUGUACAGAGACAGAGUUGUGUUAAGGUUACCUGUACAGAGACAGAGUUGUGUUGAGGUUACCUGUACAGAGACAGAGUUGUGUUGAGGUUACCUGUACAGAGACAGAGUUGUGUUGAGGUUUCCUGUACAGAGACAGAGUUGUGUUAAGGUUACCUGUACAGAGACAGAGUUGUGUUGAGGUUACCUGUACAGGGACAGACUUGUGUUGAGGUUACCUGUACAGAGACAGACUUGUGUUGAGGUUUACUGUACAGAGACAGAGUUGUGUUGAGGUUUCCUGUACAGAGACAGAGUUGUGUUGAGGUUACCUGUACAGAAACAGAGUUGUGUUGAGGUUACCCGUACAGAGACAGAGUUGUGUUGAGGUUACCUGUACAGAGACAGAGUUGUGUUGAGGUUACCUGUACAGAGACAGAGUUGUGUU